This 678-nucleotide ribosomal RNA is filed under the name Pseudomonas sp. E11_ICE11. Its description in RNAcentral is "bacterial SSU rRNA". It matches the Rfam family "Bacterial small subunit ribosomal RNA", at positions 401 to 1062 of the family's 1533-position model. Lineage: Bacteria; Pseudomonadati; Pseudomonadota; Gammaproteobacteria; Pseudomonadales; Pseudomonadaceae. The record is from RNAcentral.
GUGUGUGAAGAAAGGUCUUCGGAUUGUAAAGCACUUUAAGUUGGGAGGAAGGGCAGUUACCUAAUACGUGAUUGUCUUGACGUUACCGACAGAAUAAGCACCGGCUAACUCUGUGCCAGCAGCCGCGGUAAUACAGAGGGUGCAAGCGUUAAUCGGAAUUACUGGGCGUAAAGCGCGCGUAGGUGGUUUGUUAAGUUGAAUGUGAAAUCCCCGGGCUCAACCUGGGAACUGCAUCCAAAACUGGCAAGCUAGAGUAUGGUAGAGGGUAGUGGAAUUUCCUGUGUAGCGGUGAAAUGCGUAGAUAUAGGAAGGAACACCAGUGGCGAAGGCGACUACCUGGACUGAUACUGACACUGAGGUGCGAAAGCGUGGGGGAGCAAAACAGGAUUAGAUACCCUGGUAGUCCACGCCGUAAACGAUGUCAACUAGCCGUUGGGAGUCUUGAACUCUUAGUGGCGCAGCUAACGCAUUAAGUUGACCGCCUGGGGGAGUACGGCCCGCAAGGUUAAAACUUCAAAUGAUUUGACGGGGCCCCGCACAAGCGGUGGAGCAUGUGGUUUAAUUCGAAGCAACGCGAAGAACCUUACCAGGCCUUGACAUUCAAUGAACUUUCCAGAGAUAUGAUUGGUGCUCUUCGGGAACAUUGAGACAGGUGCCUGCAUGGCUGUCGUCAGCUCG